RNAcentral lists this transfer RNA (72 nucleotides) under Cerataphis brasiliensis yeast-like symbiont. RNAcentral describes it as "tRNA-Thr (CGT) (tRNA-Thr-CGT-2-1)". It matches the Rfam family "tRNA". Rfam says of the family: Transfer RNA (tRNA) molecules are approximately 80 nucleotides in length. Their secondary structure includes four short double-helical elements and three loops (D, anti-codon, and T loops). The record is from RNAcentral. Lineage: Eukaryota; Fungi; Ascomycota.
GCCCCUAUAGCACAGUGGUAGUGCGCUUGUCUCGUAAACAAGAGGUCCGCUGUUCGAUCCAGUGUGGGGGCA